This 801-nucleotide long non-coding RNA is filed under the name Heterocephalus glaber (naked mole-rat). RNAcentral describes it as "lncRNA (ENSHGLG00000049362.1)". Lineage: Eukaryota; Metazoa; Chordata; Mammalia; Rodentia; Bathyergidae. The record is from RNAcentral.
CCGGGCUCCCAGAAAUUUCUCUCUCUCUUGUUUUUCAAGACAGGCCCCAGAAGGGGGACUCAGAGUGAAGUCUGAGGGCACCGGGAGGCCGGCCCAGGGGCUGGGAAGGCUCCCCGCAGAGGAGGGCCUGGGAGCAGGAGCAACACGCAGGUGUUGGCAUCUCCUGGCUGAGACCCUCACUUCCUCCUGGGACCGAGAGACCUUCCCCUGCCGCUGUCUACAGAGCAGCCCCGGACCUGCACCCGACGCUGAGCGGACAGUGCCACCUGUUGACGCUGAGACGGACCACGCGCUCCUUCCCAGGCCGGCUCCAGGUACUGGGGAUCGAACUCAGGUCCUUGUGCUUGCGGAGCAGGCAGUGGAACCACUGAGCUAAAUCCUCAGCAGUUUCUUCACCUUUUAAUGAUGCUGUUAAACGGUUUUAUUUCAUGAUCUGUCUGUUGAGCUGUGAGACAGUUUGAGGGAAGGAGGGCAGAGGCACCUGACAUGUGGCUUCCAACAAUUUCCAUGAUGUAAAUACGCCCAGCAUGGCCCAUGACUGCUGAUUUCAAGCUACUGAGGAGACGGAUGAUAGUGGACAAGCAUCCAUCUAGAAUAUCACCAGCAAGGCGGAAAUAGAGAGUACCCUGUUCUCGGCCAGGCUUCGGGCACACGGAGACAUCUGGACAGCAGUGACAGUGAUGGGCGCAGAUGAAGAUAACACUCUCAUGAGUGUCAACGUGACUAGAUCUAGAGAACAUCUCCAAGUGCUGACUUACUAGGAGUCCAUUUCUUCAUUAUGAAUAAAUAAAUAAAUACUUG